RNAcentral lists this long non-coding RNA (855 nucleotides) under Mytilus galloprovincialis (Mediterranean mussel). The record is from RNAcentral. Lineage: Eukaryota; Metazoa; Mollusca; Bivalvia; Mytilida; Mytilidae.
AUUUUCUUAAUGUAAUAACUUGUGUUUUAUCCGUAAUCAUCUAAAUCCCAGCAGUGCCAUAGUUUAUUUACUAGAGAAGCCAUAUUUAUUGUGUAUUGGCGGCCUAAUACACGAGAUUGCCUGUGAACAUAACAAACGUUUUGAUUGGUCGAGCCAUUGACCGGAAAAUUAUAAAUAGAAGGUUGACGAAACGAACUUCAGAUUUAUUCUCAUCGUCUGCAAGAGCAGUCAACAUUUUAGUCGCAAUAUAAAUUUAGUCAACCUAAAUUAAUCCAAAUGUCUGAACCAAAGUCAACCAUUAGUAUGGUACGCAGGUUUUAAUUGUUUUAAGAAAACUUAAACCUUCUAGCACAUGGCUAUUGUUUGUUUUGCAAAAGUCAACCUUCGACCUACGGGAAAGUCCCGUCAGCUGUCGUUCCACUUAGUCAACCUUCUAUCGAUGAAGUAGGAUGAAAGAGAUUUUCUGGAAAUCUACUUUCGGUUUAGGAAAUAAGAUAUAUGAAUAUUUUAAAGUAUUUUAUAUUUUUGGAAAUAGAAGGUUGAAAAGUUCAACCUUCUAUCAAAUCAACCUACGGAAACAAGUCAACCUAAAUGGGAAUUUGAAGUCAACCCUCCUGAUCUAUAAAUAAAGAUGAUUACGGCAAAUUGUAUAUAAAUAUAAAUGUAUGUUUUUAUGAUCAAUUGUAAAUAUUUGAUUAUAUAGAUGUUAUAUAAAAUGCAUCUGAACUUUAUACCUGACUUAGUUAUUAUUUCAACCAUAUACCAACUCAAAGGAUCCAUGCAAAUUAUGUUCGAUCGAGCCUCCUUAUUCAUUUAAACUUACCACUCGGUUUAAGGGGCGAAAUCGUUACAAUA